UACGGAGGGUGCAAGCGUUGUCCGGAAUCAUUGGGCGUAAAGGGCGCGUAGGCGGCUUAUUAAGCGUGCGGUGAAAGCCUGGGGCUCAACCCCGGGUCGGCCGUGCGAACUGGGGGGCUGGAGCACUGUAGAGGCGGGCGGAAUUCCGGGUGUAGCGGUGGAAUGCGUAGAGAUCCGGAAGAACACCGGUGGCGAAGGCGGUCCGCUGGGGUGAGGCUGACGCUGAGGCGCGACAGCGUGGGGAGCAAACAGG
RNAcentral lists this ribosomal RNA (253 nucleotides) under uncultured bacterium. Its description in RNAcentral is "partial 16S ribosomal RNA". It matches the Rfam family "Bacterial small subunit ribosomal RNA", at positions 524 to 776 of the family's 1533-position model. The record is from RNAcentral.